Molecule: ribosomal RNA, 2891 nt
Filed under: Acinetobacter baumannii AB5256
Lineage: Bacteria; Pseudomonadati; Pseudomonadota; Gammaproteobacteria; Moraxellales; Moraxellaceae
Description: bacterial LSU rRNA
Rfam family: Bacterial large subunit ribosomal RNA
Source: RNAcentral
UCAAGUAAUUAAGUGCAUGUGGUGGAUGCCUUGGCAGUCAGAGGCGAUGAAAGACGUGAUAGCCUGCGAAAAGCUCCGGGGAGGCGGCAAAUAUCCUUUGAUCCGGAGAUGUCUGAAUGGGGGAACCCACCUACUUUAAGGUAGGUAUUGCAACAUGAAUACAUAGUGUUGCAAGGCGAACGAGGGGAAGUGAAACAUCUCAGUACCCUUAGGAAAAGAAAUCAAUUGAGAUUCCCUCAGUAGCGGCGAGCGAACGGGGAUCAGCCCAUUAAGUUAUGUGUGUUUUAGUGGAACGCUCUGGGGAGUGCGAACGUAGAGGGUGAUAUUCCCGUACACGAAAGGGCACACAUAAUGAUGACGAGUAGGGCGAGGCACGUGAAACCUUGUCUGAAUAUGGGGGGACCAUCCUCCAAGGCUAAAUACUCCUGACUGACCGAUAGUGAACCAGUACCGUGAGGGAAAGGCGAAAAGAACCCCUGUGAGGGGAGUGAAAUAGAUCCUGAAACCGCAUGCAUACAAGCAGUGGGAGCACCUUCGUGGUGUGACUGCGUACCUUUUGUAUAAUGGGUCAGCGACUUAUAUUCAGUAGCGAGGUUAACCGUAUAGGGGAGCCGUAGAGAAAUCGAGUCUUAAUAGGGCGUUUAGUUGCUGGGUAUAGACCCGAAACCAGGCGAUCUAUCCAUGAGCAGGUUGAAGGUUGGGUAACACUAACUGGAGGACCGAACCCACUGUCGUUGAAAAGCCAGGGGAUGACUUGUGGAUAGGGGUGAAAGGCUAAUCAAGCCUGGUGAUAGCUGGUUCUCCCCGAAAGCUAUUUAGGUAGCGCCUCGGACGAAUACCAUAGGGGGUAGAGCACUGUUUCGGCUAGGGGGUCAUCCCGACUUACCAAACCGAUGCAAACUCCGAAUACCUAUGAGUACUAUCCGGGAGACAGACUGCGGGUGCUAACGUCCGUAGUCAAGAGGAAAACAAUCCAGACCGCCAGCUAAGGCCCCAAAAUCAUAGUUAAGUGGGAAACGAUGUGGGAAGGCAUAGACAGCUAGGAGGUUGGCUUAGAAGCAGCCACCCUUUAAAGAAAGCGUAAUAGCUCACUAGUCGAGUCGGCCUGCGCGGAAGAUGUAACGGGGCUAAAACUAUGUGCCGAAGCUGCGGAUGUAUACUUUGUAUACGUGGUAGGGGAGCGUUCUGUAAGCCGAUGAAGGUGUGUUGAGAAGCAUGCUGGAGGUAUCAGAAGUGCGAAUGCUGACGUGAGUAACGACAAAACGGGUGAAAAACCCGUUCGCCGAAAGACCAAGGGUUCCAGUCCAACGUUAAUCGGGGCUGGGUGAGUCGACCCCUAAGGCGAGGCCGAAAGGCGUAGUCGAUGGGAAAAUGGUUAAUAUUCCAUUACUUCUGUGUAAUGCGAUGAGAGGACGGAGAAGGCUAAAUCAGCCUGGCGUUGGUUGUCCAGGUGAAAGGAUGUAGGCAUGUAUCUUAGGCAAAUCCGGGGUACUCUAUGCUGAGAUCUGAUAGCAAGCUGUACUUGUACAGCGAAGUGGUUGAUGCCAUGCUUCCAGGAAAAGUCUCUAAGCUUCAGUUACACAGGAAUCGUACCCGAAACCGACACAGGUGGUCAGGUCGAGUAGACCAAGGCGCUUGAGAGAACUCUGCUGAAGGAACUAGGCAAAAUGGUACCGUAACUUCGGGAGAAGGUACGCUGUUGUUGGUGAUGGAACUCGCUUCCUGAGCUGACGACAGCCGCAGAAACCAGGCCGCUGCAACUGUUUAUUAAAAACAUAGCACUCUGCAAACACGAAAGUGGACGUAUAGGGUGUGAUGCCUGCCCGGUGCUGGAAGGUUAAUUGAUGGGGUUAGCGUAAGCGAAGCUCUUGAUCGAAGCCCCAGUAAACGGCGGCCGUAACUAUAACGGUCCUAAGGUAGCGAAAUUCCUUGUCGGGUAAGUUCCGACCUGCACGAAUGGCAUAAUGAUGGCGGCGCUGUCUCCAGCAGAGGCUCAGUGAAAUCGAAAUCGCUGUGAAGAUGCAGUGUACCCGCGGCUAGACGGAAAGACCCCGUGAACCUUUACUGCAGCUUGACACUGAACUUUGACCUUACUUGUGUAGGAUAGGUGGGAGGCUUUGAAGCUGGAACGCUAGUUCCAGUGGAGCCGUCCUUGAAAUACCACCCUGGUAAUGUUGAGGUUCUAACUCUGUCCCGUGAUCCGGGACGAGGACCGUGUCUGGUGGGUAGUUUGACUGGGGCGGUCUCCUCCUAAAGAGUAACGGAGGAGUACGAAGGUGCGCUCAGCGUGGUCGGAAAUCACGCGUAGAGUAUAAAGGCAAAAGCGCGCUUAACUGCGAGACCCACAAGUCGAGCAGGUACGAAAGUAGGUCUUAGUGAUCCGGUGGUUCUGUAUGGAAGGGCCAUCGCUCAACGGAUAAAAGGUACUCUGGGGAUAACAGGCUGAUACCGCCCAAGAGUUCAUAUCGACGGCGGUGUUUGGCACCUCGAUGUCGGCUCAUCUCAUCCUGGGGCUGAAGCAGGUCCCAAGGGUAUGGCUGUUCGCCAUUUAAAGAGGUACGCGAGCUGGGUUUAGAACGUCGUGAGACAGUUCGGUCCCUAUCUACCGUGGGCGCUGGAAAUUUGAGAGGAUCUGCUCCUAGUACGAGAGGACCAGAGUGGACGAACCUCUGGUGUACCGGUUGUGACGCCAGUCGCAUCGCCGGGUAGCUAUGUUCGGAAGGGAUAACCGCUGAAAGCAUCUAAGCGGGAAGCCUACCUCAAGAUAAGAUUUCCCUAGGACUUUAUGUCCUCUAAAGAGCCGUUCGAGACUAGGACGUUGAUAGGUUGGAUGUGGAAGCAUAGUGAUAUGUGAAGCUGACCAAUACUAAUUGCUCGUGAGGCUUGACUAU